GUUGCCCGAACCUAUGUUGCCUCGGCGGGCCCCGCGCCCGCCGACGGCCCCCCUGAACGCUGUCUGAAGUUGCAGUCUGAGACCUAUAACGAAAUUAGUUAAAACUUUCAACAACGGAUCUCUUGGUUCCGGCAUCGAUGAAGAACGCAGCGAAAUGCGAUAACUAAUGUGAAUUGCAGAAUUCAGUGAAUCAUCGAGUCUUUGAACGCACAUUGCGCCCUCUGGUAUUCCGGAGGGCAUGCCUGUCCGAGCGUCAUUGCUGCCCUCAAGCCCGGCUUGUGUGUUGGGCCCCGUCCCCCCCGCCGGGGGGACGGGCCCGAAAGGCAGCGGCGGCACCGCGUCCGGUCCUCGAGCGUAUGGGGCUUCGUCACCCGCUCUAGUAGGCCCGGCCGGCGCCAGCCGACCCCCAACCUUUAAUUAUCUCAGGUUGACCUCGGAUCAGGUAGGGAUACCCGCUGAACUUAAGCAUAUCAAUAA
Molecule: ribosomal RNA, 477 nt
Filed under: Penicillium sp. FL-2010h
Lineage: Eukaryota; Fungi; Ascomycota; Eurotiomycetes; Eurotiales; Aspergillaceae
Description: eukaryotic LSU rRNA
Rfam family: 5.8S ribosomal RNA (bases 103-256)
Source: RNAcentral